GCGAAUUUAAUUUCUUGGCAUGUAAUUGAUGUUGUUUUAUCAAAUAAUUACUUAACUAAACAAAUACUAAUAGUUCAUAUGCUGAUCUAUUUCUCAAUGGCAUCUUUCCACCAAAAAUUUCUUGAUUUUGUGAUAUGGCAGUAAUUGCAGUUGCUGACCAAACUAAAAACCUGAUGGAGAUAUCAGAUAUUUAUAUCUCCA
RNAcentral lists this unclassified non-coding RNA (201 nucleotides) under Hevea brasiliensis (rubber tree). The record is from RNAcentral. Lineage: Eukaryota; Viridiplantae; Streptophyta; Magnoliopsida; Malpighiales; Euphorbiaceae.